Molecule: long non-coding RNA, 399 nt
Filed under: Nicotiana benthamiana
Lineage: Eukaryota; Viridiplantae; Streptophyta; Magnoliopsida; Solanales; Solanaceae
Description: long non-coding RNA (NBEN_LNC016896)
Source: RNAcentral
ACAAAACAAAGGAAAGAGUGAGGAAAGCAACAGUAUAGCAGUAGAUCAAUCCCAGGUCCAAAGAUUGAAUUCUCCAGGAAUGAAACCAAUGAAAAAUGAUCCCAAAACAGCUUGGCCCAGAAAUUUUAAAUAAAUUCAACCUCAAACUACUUUGAAAUCUACGCAACUUUAGAUUUUCUUCAUCUAUUAAUACACAAAAAACUCCAAAGCUCAAAAUUAUGUCUCAAUGGAACAGUGAAAAGAGAAUCACCGACUCCAAUUUUCACUCUAUUCUUGUAGCCUUUUUUCCUUUAUUAUUCAACUUCUAAAAACCUUUCCUUUUUCAUUGUGUAUUGUUCUAGACUUUUUUUCUCUAAACCUUUAAAGUAGCAGCUUUGUUUUCUGGACAUUUUAGCCUCU